CCCUUAGGCAUAAACAAGGAGAGUUAACCUUAACCCAAGUCAUAAACUCUCUUAGAGUUGAGGAAAAACAUAGAGCCAAUACUAAGAAAGAGGAUGAAAAGACUCCUAAGGUGAACCUAGUUGAAAAUAAUACUAAGAAUUUUUACAAGAGAAAUAAUUUCCAACAUAGGGGUAAGAACUUCAAGAAAAAUAAUAGGUUCCACAAUCGUUCUAACCAAAACCAAAACUUCCAAUACCGUAAUAAUAAUAAUAAUAAAACAUUCAAGGGCAAAGGAAGUGAGAAAAGGCUAUGCUUUGUUUGUGGGAGAACUAAUCACAUGGCGAAAGAUUGCUUCUUCAAGAAGAAUGAGGAGUAUAAGCCGAAGCCCAAGUCAAAUCACUAUCAAAGAGAUCCAAAGGCUCAAGUCUAUAUGUUGAUGGAUCAAGAGAAUUCAGCUGAGCCAUCCUUUAGAAAUCAAGUGGAGGAAGUGUAACAUUAGGUAAUGACUCUGUUGCACGUGUGCUUGGAGUUGGAGACAUAGAUUUGAAGAUGACAUCUGGAAAGAUCUUAACUUUGAAAGGAGUGCGACAUGUUCCAGAAAUCAGAAGAAAUUUAGUUAGUGGGUCAUCCUUAGUCCAACAAGGAUACAAGGUUGUUAUGGAAUCCAAUAAAGU
Phoenix dactylifera (date palm) is the source of this 654-nucleotide non-coding RNA. The record is from RefSeq and is a predicted model, not a curated record. Lineage: Eukaryota; Viridiplantae; Streptophyta; Magnoliopsida; Arecales; Arecaceae.